RNAcentral lists this ribosomal RNA (322 nucleotides) under uncultured eukaryote. Its description in RNAcentral is "partial 18S ribosomal RNA". It matches the Rfam family "Eukaryotic small subunit ribosomal RNA", at positions 1470 to 1796 of the family's 1831-position model. The record is from RNAcentral.
CCCUUAGAUGUUCUGGGCCGCACGCGUGCUACACUGAGUGGAUCAGCGGGUCAGGUUGCGCGAAAGCGUUUCCUAAUCUUUAAAUCCGCUCGUGAUGGGGAUUGACGGUUGCAAUUUUCUGUCAUGAACGAGGAAUACCUUGUAAGCGCGGGUCAUCAUCCCGCGCUGAAUACGUCCCUGCCCUUUGUACACACCGCCCGUCGCUCCUACCGAUUGAGUGGUCCGGUGAGGCUUUGGGAUCUGAGCGGAAAGAGCGUUUCGCUGUUUCUGCUCGGAAAACUCAGUCGAACCUUAUCAUUUAGAGGAAUGAGAAGUCGUAACA